GAUGAACGCUGGCGGCGUGCCUAAUACAUGCAAGUCGAGCGAACAGACGAGGAGCUUGCUCCUCUGACGUUAGCGGCGGACGGGUGAGUAACACGUGGAUAACCUACCUAUAAGACUGGGAUAACUUCGGGAAACCGGAGCUAAUACCGGAUGAUAUAUUGAACCGCAUGGUUCAAUAGUGAAAGACGGUUUUGCUGUCACUUAUAGAUGGAUCCGCGCUGCAUUAGCUAGUUGGUAAGGUAACGGCUUACCAAGGCAACGAUGCGUAGCCGACCUGAGAGGGUGAUCGGCCACACUGGAACUGAGACACGGUCCAGACUCCUACGGGAGGCAGCAGUAGGGAAUCUUCCGCAAUGGGCGAAAGCCUGACGGAGCAACGCCGCGUGAGUGAUGAAGGUCUUCGGAUCGUAAAACUCUGUUAUUGGGGAAGAACAGAUGUGUAAGUAACUGUGCACGUCUUGACGGUACCUAAUCAGAAAGCCACGGCUAACUACGUG
RNAcentral lists this ribosomal RNA (497 nucleotides) under uncultured bacterium. RNAcentral's name for it is "partial 16S ribosomal RNA". It matches the Rfam family "Bacterial small subunit ribosomal RNA", at positions 28 to 507 of the family's 1533-position model. The record is from RNAcentral.